GCCAGCGGUCAUAGCACGUUGAACGGAUGAACGAUGUAUCACUAAAUUUAAGCUACGUUGCGCGUGGUUAGUAUCCGGAUGGAUGACCAUCUGGACAAUCGUUUGCUGCGUGAU
Molecule: ribosomal RNA, 114 nt
Filed under: Diaphorina citri (Asian citrus psyllid)
Lineage: Eukaryota; Metazoa; Arthropoda; Insecta; Hemiptera; Psyllidae
Source: RNAcentral